This 429-nucleotide long non-coding RNA is filed under the name Rattus norvegicus (Norway rat). Its description in RNAcentral is "long non-coding RNA NONRATT020109". Lineage: Eukaryota; Metazoa; Chordata; Mammalia; Rodentia; Muridae. The record is from RNAcentral.
AUCACCCCAGAACAGCAGCACUGAGAACUGAGCAAGAAGACAUGGACAGCGUCAGACCUCCGUCUACGAAAACGGCGUGGGGUGGGAGCUCACGGAAGGCUCUCCAGCCAGGAGCCUUGGCACCCGCAAUGCUUAAGGCUGUAGAUUCAGGGGUGGCUGACGGGGCUGAUGGGCAGCAGCCUCCAGCAGGCUCCUGGCAGAGACAUCUAACAGAACCAAUAAAUAACGCAGGCAGGUGCUGAAGGCACGCAUCGGAGUGUCUACUGACUGAGAGCAUUCUCGGGAUGGUGCUGAGCUGACUGUGGUAUCUCCCACCUGCAUCAGGUACGGCCCAGCGUUAGGGAGGCCGAGACAGGAGGGCACCUCAGGCUUGAGGUCAACCUGGCUGUACAGUGAGAGCCUGCCUGGAGAAAAUGCCAAAAGGAAAAC